RNAcentral lists this ribosomal RNA (434 nucleotides) under uncultured bacterium. Its description in RNAcentral is "bacterial SSU rRNA". It matches the Rfam family "Bacterial small subunit ribosomal RNA", at positions 343 to 794 of the family's 1533-position model. The record is from RNAcentral.
UGGAGGCAGCAGUGGGGAAUCUUGCACAAUGGGGGAAACCCUGAUGCAGCGACGCCGCGUGAGCGAUGAAGCCCUUCGGGGUGUAAAGCUCUUUCGUCAGGGAAGAUAGUGACGGUACCUGGAGAAGCAGCUGCGGCUAACUACGUGCCAGCAGCCGCGGUAAUACGUAGGCAGCAAGCGUUGUUCGGAGUUACUGGGCGUAAAGGGUGUGUAGGCGGUUCUUUAAGUUUGGUGUGAAAUCUCCCGGCUCAACCGGGAGGGUGCGCCGAAUACUGAGGGACUAGAGUGUGGGAGAGGAAAGUGGAAUUCCUGGUGUAGCGGUGAAAUGCGUAGAUAUCAGGAGGAACACCGGUGGUGUAGACGGCUUUCUGGACCAUAACUGACGCUGAGACACGAAAGCGUGGGUAGCAAACAGGAUUAGAUACCCUGGUAGC